GUCUGAUGGCCGUGAGAUACAAGCUGUUUUUCAGUCUUUCGGUCCCCGCUUUUGUAAAUCUAAUCAGUUUUCCACAUCAUCACAGAUUUUUUUGAAUGACUUGGAAACAAUGUUGAUUCAACCAGUUCUUGCCCAGUGGGAUAUAUAUAUUUUUUUUACAUGUUAUCACGUUUCAAGGUAAAACCCAGAUGCAGACAACAUUGAAUUACCAACAGUAUAUUAAUCCAACAGGGUCAGGCAAGAGACAGCUCAAGGUCAGGCAGGGGUCAGUAAUCCAGAUGGUGGGGAAAAGGUACAGGACGGUAGGCAGUCUCAGGGCAGGCAGAAAAGGUCAAAACCGGGAAAACUAGAAAACAUGAACAAUCGCGAGACAGGAAUAGAGGGAAAAACGCUGGUAGACUUGACGAAACAAAACGAACUGGCAACAGACAAACAGAGAACACAGGUAUAAAUACACAGGGGAUAAUGGGGAAGAUGGGCGAUAAUGGAGACAAUCACAAAGACAUGUGAAACAGAUCAGGGUAUGUAGCCCUACAUUCAUUUGAUGUAAACAUAAGGCUGAGAGAGAAUUUCCUUAUACCAUGUUUUUUGCACCAGUCUCUGCACUAUUCCUUUCAAAUCCAAAUCACAUUGAGAUUGACUUUAUAAUUUUAUCCUAACCCAGUGCUUCCCAAACUUGGUCCUCGGGACCCUAAGGGGUGCAUGUUUGGUUUUUGCCCUAACACUACCCUAGUGUUAGGGCAAAGCUUGAUGAUUAGUUGAUUAUUUGAAUAAGCUGUGUAGUGCUAGUGCAAAAACCAAAACGUGCACCGCUUGGGAAACCCUGACCUAACCUGUGACCUGACCCAUCACUUUAUGUAUCACUGCCCCCCAGUCGCAAGAAGCGACAUAAAAAAAAACACCACAAAAAAACAAUACAACACAAACGGCUUCUAGCAUCCUACGCAUGCUUUCUGUCUCUAACACUAAAACUGAAACUAAAUCAUAUAAAAAUCAUUUUCUACAACUCAAACUAAAUAAAAAUGAGCAAAUCAGGUUUGAAAACUAACUGAAGCUAAACUGAAUUUCU
This 1069-nucleotide long non-coding RNA is filed under the name Salmo salar (Atlantic salmon). RNAcentral's name for it is "lncRNA (ENSSSAG00000101102.1)". Lineage: Eukaryota; Metazoa; Chordata; Actinopteri; Salmoniformes; Salmonidae. The record is from RNAcentral.